This 800-nucleotide ribosomal RNA is filed under the name Halomonas sp. K181. RNAcentral describes it as "bacterial SSU rRNA". It matches the Rfam family "Bacterial small subunit ribosomal RNA", at positions 76 to 878 of the family's 1533-position model. The record is from RNAcentral. Lineage: Bacteria; Pseudomonadati; Pseudomonadota; Gammaproteobacteria; Oceanospirillales; Halomonadaceae.
GCUUGCUAGACGCUGACGAGCGGCGGACGGGUGAGUAAUGCAUAGGAAUCUGCCCGAUAGUGGGGGAUAACCUGGGGAAACCCAGGCUAAUACCGCAUACGUCCUACGGGAGAAAGGGGGCUUCGGCUCCCGCUAUUGGAUGAGCCUAUGUCGGAUUAGCUAGUUGGUAAGGUAAUGGCUUACCAAGGCAACGAUCCGUAGCUGGUCUGAGAGGAUGAUCAGCCACAUCGGGACUGAGACACGGCCCGAACUCCUACGGGAGGCAGCAGUGGGGAAUAUUGGACAAUGGGGGCAACCCUGAUCCAGCCAUGCCGCGUGUGUGAAGAAGGCCCUCGGGUUGUAAAGCACUUUCAGCGAGGAAGAACGCCUAUCGGUUAAUACCCGGUAGGAAAGACAUCACUCGCAGAAGAAGCACCGGCUAACUCCGUGCCAGCAGCCGCGGUAAUACGGAGGGUGCAAGCGUUAAUCGGAAUUACUGGGCGUAAAGCGCGCGUAGGUGGCUUGAUAAGCCGGUUGUGAAAGCCCCGGGCUCAACCUGGGAACGGCAUCCGGAACUGUCAGGCUAGAGUGCAGGAGAGGAAGGUAGAAUUCCCGGUGUAGCGGUGAAAUGCGUAGAGAUCGGGAGGAAUACCAGUGGCGAAGGCGGCCUUCUGGACUGACACUGACACUGAGGUGCGAAAGCGUGGGUAGCAAACAGGAUUAGAUACCCUGGUAGUCCACGCCGUAAACGAUGUCGACCAGCCGUUGGGUGCCUAGAGCACUUUGUGGCGAAGUUAACGCGAUAAGUCGACCGCCUGGGG